UAGUCAAACCUAUACUAAACUUUCGUCACUAUAAUCACGUACCAAACCAAAAGUAUAAUGAUGAAAAGUACAUUACUCCCACCGCCCCUGUUUCUCUUUUCUCUUCUCAAUUUGAUGUCUCGAAUCUGGAGCUACAAAUUCCAAAUUUAGAAGUACAGAUCAUGACUCCAACUUCUUCUCUCUCUUCCUAAUUCACAUCUCUCCCUCUUUCUCACAGAAAACACAAGUCAGAAACAAAACAAAACCAACUCCCAUCUCUCUCGUCCCAAAAACUUUCCCCCGGCGAAAAUUGGCGCCGCCUCACGUCCUUCCGUCGAAGACCAGCCGCUGCUUCUUCCACCGCCGCGGCGCUACUGCCUCUGGCCGUCGUCUUCGUUUCACACGCCGAGCCGCCGCAACUUCCAUCGCAGCCGCAGCCACACCUCCUUCGCUACUCUUUUCUCCCGGCAGAUUUUCAGUUGAGACAAAGGCUAAACGUAAAAGAUUGAAACUUUGUUCAGAGCACACGAUGAUUCAGGAUUAUCCUAAAUGAAUGCAAGGAAUUCAUUGCUGAGAAUUGACCGAUGAUUACCUUCUUAGACGGCCGAAAACUCUCUUCUCUAACUCAGUUCUUUCUCUAUAUUUUUUUUUUCAAGAUUUAUGAAUGGUGGAACACGUGUGAUGUGGUAGAACAUGUAUAUAUAUAGAGAGAAUUCGGAAUAAGGGAUUAAUUUCGCUGACCUUUCGUAAUUUGGGAUCGUGGCAUGCAUAUUUUUCA
Long non-coding RNA from Salvia hispanica, 757 nucleotides. RefSeq lists it as uncharacterized. Lineage: Eukaryota; Viridiplantae; Streptophyta; Magnoliopsida; Lamiales; Lamiaceae. The record is from RefSeq and is a predicted model, not a curated record.